AACGAACGCUGGCGGCAGGCUUAACACAUGCAAGUCGAGCGCCCCGCAAGGGGAGCGGCAGACGGGUGAGUAACACGUGGGAAUCUACCCAACCCUACGGAAUAGCUCCGGGAAACCGGAAUUAAUACCGUAUACGCCCUUAGGGGGAAAGAUUUAUCGGGGAUGGAUGAGCCCGCGUUGGAUUAGCUAGUUGGUGGGGUAAAGGCCUACCAAGGCGACGAUCCAUAGCUGGUCUGAGAGGAUGAUCAACCACAUUGGGACUGAUACACGGCCCAAACUCCUACGGGAGGCAGCAGUGGGGAAUAUUGGACAAUGGGCGCAAGCCUGAUCCAGCCAUGCCGCGUGAGUGAUGAAGGCCUUAGGGUUGUAAAGCUCUUUCACCGGAGAAGAUAAUGACGGUAUCCGGAGAAGAAGCCCCGGCUAACUUCGUGCCAGCCGCCGCCGUAA
RNAcentral lists this ribosomal RNA (447 nucleotides) under uncultured bacterium. Its description in RNAcentral is "partial 16S ribosomal RNA". It matches the Rfam family "Bacterial small subunit ribosomal RNA", at positions 29 to 523 of the family's 1533-position model. The record is from RNAcentral.